Molecule: long non-coding RNA, 1863 nt
Organism: Lagopus muta (rock ptarmigan)
Lineage: Eukaryota; Metazoa; Chordata; Aves; Galliformes; Phasianidae
Exons: 4
Source: RefSeq, a predicted model, not a curated record
AUUGCCUCCUUUGGAGCGUUUGGUGAGCUCUGAUCCUCAGAAAGGGGGCGAAGAUGACUGAGCAAAUCAUGAAGAGGUCUGGUGCCUCAGGUUGCUGUGGCUGCAAUUGUGGCCGUCUUGCUGUAUCCUGUAACUGCUUCCUCUGAGCCCUGUCUGUGAGAAGAAUCCAAAAUGAGCAACUUGAGUUUAAAAAUCUGUGGAUGUCUUUGGUUCUGGUGAAAAGACAGCAGCCUACACUGUCAGCUCUAAAGAAACAAGCCCAUUUCUCUGGAAGGCUCUCUGUUCUGCCUUGGCUGCUUUCAGUGCUGGUUUUAUGGGGCAUCAGCACUGAAGUAUUCCCUCUGCUGCCUGAGAGAAACUUGUGUCCCAGUUUGAGUGUCUUGAGUGAUUGGAGAUUUAGCUCUGAGCUAGAGAUGCUCACUGCCAUUGAAAACUACUUUUAAAUUAGUAGGGCCAUAAUCCAUGACAUGACUGUUAAUUUACCUAUUCCCAGAGGAACAGUGAACAUUCCAACUGUCACUGCAAACUGACCUUUGAGGCAUGAACAAAUAAGGAUUUAGAAAGUAAUUGGUGACAAAAUACUGGCAAUUUGUUAAUCUCUGUAGAAAAUAAAGAGGAUAGCAGAUAGGGCAGAGCACUCUGCUGCACUGAAUAUCACCUUGAGUAGAUGUUUGGGGGAAGCAGAUAAUGUCCUUUUAUCCUUGUUUUUCCUUCUCUUCCAAAUCUGUCAUUUUCAUUUUCCUUUUUUGGGGGGGGUUGUUAAAGACGUCUCUUGUUUUUGUCUGCUAAAAAAUUGAUGAAAGCCUAAUUGAGCAAGUUACUUACAUUUGUCCCCAGAUUUCAUCUCAGUUUCAGAGUGUUGAACACAAAAGAGUAUGUGCUCUAAAGAAGUACCGCAGCUUCAGCUCACUAGUCUACAAUAAAAUGCAUUUGUUGCUGGUAAAUUGCUUAUAAAAAGCUGAAGAAUGGUAACAUACUGAGUUCUCUGUUCAUCUCAGGGAUGCUAACGCACCUGAAUGCUCGUGGACACAGCCAUACUGGAGUUCUGCAAGUGCUGGUGUGCAGAGAGCAUCUAUAAAAGCUGACUUCCUUAGCAUAUCUUCUCGUGAGCUGACAGUGAAUGUCUGUCAUCUUGCUUCCAAGUCAUGGCAUCCAUGAAGGGAUGUUUGCACAGGUGAACUUUUUAAAUGAAAAGCUUAGCAAAAGUAGAGUGUGUGAAAAUCAUUUUAACUGCCUAUCUGUCCUCUCAAUCUUCUGACUGCAAAGGUAGCAGAUAAGUAUUCUGAUGAAGUUGAUGCUUGAGUAUAUGGCAACUUGAGUAUUUUUGAGAAGUGUUAAGCAGUCGUUUCAUCUGAAGCCUAUAGGGAGAGGUUAGGUAGGAGAUGGAAGGUUUCUAUGCUGUCAGAAUGUGCUCAGUGGUGCCAGGGGGCAGAUUCCCUGGGCACAAUGCCAUUCUGAGAUAGCAGCUAGCAUGGAUGGAAAGGAAGGGAAGGAGCUGCUGGAAAGGAGGAUGUACCCAAACAGUUCAUAUUGCACAUUAAUACUUCUGUCUUGCCAGAUAUUUGAGAUAUGUUGGAGGACUGGUAAUCCUUCGAGGGAGAUGAAGGGUGGUGUAUAUAGUAGGGGGUUGCAACUAGAUGGUCUUUAUGGUCCCUUCCAAAUCAAGCCAUUUUCUAAUUCUAUGAUGUGAUUCUAUGACUGAAAUCCAAUGAAGUAUGAGGAGCUGCCCUGACAGCUCUCUUAGUAAUACUUUAGAAUGGAAAUGUUAGUGCUGUGCUCUUUUUGGGUCAGAUAUAAGCUGUUGUUUCAGUCCCAAUUUGAAGUCUGCACGCCAUUUGAAGAAUGGGACUGCUAAAUUUUGGU